AUAAACAAGCAGGGCGGAGCACGCUCCUCCCUCCUUUGUCAAGAAGCCGUCCACCUCUGGGACUUUUGCAUAGCCCACUCGAUCGAUUUGGUAGCAUCUUUUCUCCCAGGAGUCCAGAACACUCUGGCGGAUCACCUCAGCAGAUCCUUCCUGUCUCACGAGUGGUCGAUUUUGUCUGGACAUCAUCCAUUCUGUUUUCUGGAAAUGGGGGUUUCCCCACAUAGACCUCUUUGCCACCCGAGAGAACAAGAAAUGCCAGGUAUUCUGCUCCUUCCAGGGACGCUCCCUGGGCUCCCUCUCAGACACGUUCCAGAUCCCAUGGAAGAGGCACCUACUCUAUGCCUUCCCACCGUUUCUGCUCGUCCACAGAGUCUGUCUUAAGCUCCGCAGGGACAGCGCCCACCUGAUCCUGAUUGCUCCUGCGUGGCCGAGGCAGCACUGGUACACUAUGUUGUUCGACCUCUCAGUGGCAGACCCAAUGCCCCUGCCACUCUGGCCGGAUCUCAUAACACAGAACUUCGGCAGGCUUCACCAUCUAAACCUGCAGUCUCUUCACCUCAGAGCAUGGUUACAGCGUGAUUGAGCCAGUCUGAGUUGCCUUGCUCUGCCUCUGUCCAACAGGUGCUCUUGGGCAGUAGGAAGCCUUCCACUAGGAUGACAUAUCUGGCCAAAUGGAAGCUUUUCUCUUGCUGGUGCGCUCAGUGUAACUCAGUCCCCAGGCUGGUGUCCGUUCCUGCUGUCCUGGACUACCUCUGGUCCCUGAAAGAACAGGGCCUAUAGGUCUCUUCCAUAAAGGUGCAUCUGGCAGCCAUCUCCACCUUCCACCUGGGGGAAAAUGGCUGAUCAGUCUUCUCUCACCCCAUAGUUUCAAGGUUCCUCAAGGGAUUGGAACGUUUGUACCCUCAAGUCAGACUCCCGACCCCUACCUGGGAUGUCAACCUGGUGCUAGCCAAGCUUAUGGGUGCUCCUUUCGAACCACUGGCCACCUGCUCGCUGCUGUACCUUUUCUGGAAGACCAGCCUUCCUUGUUGCUAUUACUUCGGCAAGACAAGUAUCUGAGCUUCGGGCCUUGACAGCGGAUCCUCCCCCCCCCCCCCCCGUAUACGGUAUUCCAUAAGGACAAGGUACAGCUGCGACCACACCCCUCCUUCCUCCCUAAGGUGGUGUCCACCUUUCAUCAGUUACAGAUGUCAAUCAAGACAUCUUCCUCGCAGUCUUUUUCCUGAAGCCACACCCAUCGUGUCGAGAACAACAGCUGCAAACCCUAGACGUUCACAGGGCUCUCGCCUUUUUAUAUUGAGAGAACAAAACCCUUCCGAAGGUCACCUCAGCUCUGUGGCAGACCGGAUGAAAGGCCUACCGGUCUCAUUCCAACGACUUUCAUCUUGGGUAACAUCCUGUAUCCGUACAUGCUAUGAUUUGGCUCAUAUUCCGGCUAGCCACCUCACCGCCCAUUCUACUGGGGCUGAAGCUUCAUCUGCCACCUUCAUGGCCCAUGUUCCCAUCCAGGAAAUAUGUCAGGCAGCUACCUGGUCAUUGAUUCACACCUUUGCCUCACAUUACGCAUUGGUUCAACAGUCCAGAGAUGAUGCAGCAUUUGGCUCAGCAGUUUUGCAUUCUGCAGCAUCUCACUCCAACCCCAGCGCCUAGAUAAGGCUUGGGAAUCAACUAAUUGGAAUUGAUAUGAGCAAGCACUCCAAGAAGAAAAAAUGGUUACUCACCUUUGUAACUGUUGUUCUUCGAGAUGUGUUGCUCAUGUCCAUUCCAAACCCGCCCUCCUUCCCCUCUGUCAGAGUAACCGGCAAGAAAGAACUGAAGGGCCGUUGGGUCGUCAGGGAUAUAUAUCCGGCACCAUAACAGCGCCACUCCAGGGGGCGACCCAGCCGACCCACCAAGUGUUGCUAAGGUAAAAAUCUUCCGAUGAACGUGCACACGGCACGCACACACCUAAUUGGAAUGGAUAUGAGCAACACAUCUUGAAGAACAACAGUUACAAAGGUGGUGUCCCUCAGUUUCCCAGCUGCUCCAUAGAGGUGGGGGAAAGAAUACUUGUGUUCCUCUGUCCACUUCCCCACAGAGCCUCUCCGGGCUCUUGAUAUCAGAGAGAACAUGUGAUGUUUGAAGCAAUAUUGUAGUUUGGACUUAUCCACUCCACAGGACACAGGGAAACUGCAGAGGGCAAAGGCCUCAGUCUGCAAAAGGGAAGAAAUGUGGAAAAUCAAUCAAGGACCCCAAAUUGGUUUGAUCUCUGGUUGAAAUGAUUAAAAAGGAUGAGAACAUGGAUACUCACCAGGACCCCUGCUCUUAAAAAAUGAAUCCAGCCCCGUGUCUAGAGGAGGAGUCGGCAACCUUUCAGAAGUGGUGUGCCGAGUCUUCAUUUAUUCACUCUAAUUUAAGGUUUCGCGUGCCAGUAAUAUGUUUAAACCUUUUUAGGAGGUCUCUUUCUAUGAGUCUGUAAUGUAUAACUAAACUAUUUUGUAUGUAAAGUAAAUAAGGUUUUUAAAAUG
This is a long non-coding RNA of Gopherus flavomarginatus (Mexican gopher tortoise), 2507 nucleotides long. RefSeq lists it as uncharacterized. NCBI's taxonomy places the organism in Eukaryota, Metazoa, Chordata, Testudines, Testudinidae. The record is from RefSeq and is a predicted model, not a curated record. The transcript has 2 exons.